GUACAUUAGUGCUUGCGCACGACAAGUUUUCAUUACAUUCGAGUGUGUGUAAAAAUCCUCUGCCAGCCGAAGCUAGCAAGAGGCCAAAGGUUCACAGGGUAGUAGUGGAUGAAAGCCACCAACGUGCACUUGCUCGCGAGAGCCAGCACCGAAGGUAACCAUUCGCAAUCAUUAAUGAUCCUUCCGCAGGUUCACCUACGGAAA
Molecule: unclassified non-coding RNA, 204 nt
Filed under: uncultured fungus
Lineage: Eukaryota; Fungi
Description: sequence contains ITS1
Source: RNAcentral